UUGACCUCUGACCUCAAAUCAGGUAGGGUUACCCGCUGAACUUAAGCAUAUCAAUAAGCGGAGGAAAAGAAACUAACAAGGAUUCCCCUAGUAACUGCGAGUGAAGCGGGAAAAGCUCAAAUUUAAAAUCUGGCAGUCUUUGGCUGUCCGAGUUGUAGUCUGGAGAAGUGCUUUCCGUGCUGGACCGUGUACAAGUCUCUUGGAACAGAGCGUCAUAGAGGGUGAGAAUCCCGUCUUUGACACGGACUACCAGUGCUUUGUGAUGCGCUCUCAAAGAGUCGAGUUGUUUGGGAAUGCAGCUCAAAAUGGGUGGUGAAUUCCAUCUAAAGCUAAAUAUUGGCGAGAGACCGAUAGCGAACAAGUACCGUGAGGGAAAGAUGAAAAGCACUUUGGAAAGAGAGUUAAACAGUACGUGAAAUUGCUGAAAGGGAAACGCUUGAAGUCAGUCGCGUUGGCCAGGACUCAGCCUUGCUUUUUUGCUUGGUGCAUUUUCUGGUUGACGGGUCAGCAUCAGUUUUGAUUGUCGGAAAA
RNAcentral lists this ribosomal RNA (531 nucleotides) under Resinoporia piceata. RNAcentral describes it as "eukaryotic LSU rRNA". It matches the Rfam family "Eukaryotic large subunit ribosomal RNA", at positions 1 to 522 of the family's 3401-position model. Lineage: Eukaryota; Fungi; Basidiomycota; Agaricomycetes; Polyporales; Adustoporiaceae. The record is from RNAcentral.